Molecule: microRNA precursor, 61 nt
Filed under: Homo sapiens (human)
Lineage: Eukaryota; Metazoa; Chordata; Mammalia; Primates; Hominidae
Description: Hsa-Mir-430-P11_pre stem-loop
Rfam family: mir-515 microRNA precursor family
Source: RNAcentral
CCUCAAGAUGGAAGCAGUUUCUGUUGUCUGAAAGGAAAGAAAGUGCUUCCUUUUUGAGGGU